AAGUACCGUCCGAAUAGGGCGGUACCUUGACGGUACCUAACCAGAAAGCUCACGGCUAACUACGUGCCCGCAGCCGCGGUAAUACGUAGGUGGCAAGCGUUGUCCGGAAUUAUUGGGCGUAAAGGGCUCGCAGGCGGUUUCUUAAGUCUGAUGUGAAAGCCCCCGGCUCAACCGGGGAGGGUCAUUGGAAACUGGGGAACUUGAGUGCAGAAGAGGAGAGUGGAAUUCCACGUGUAGCGGUGAAAUGCGUAGAGAUGUGGAGGAACACCAGUGGCGAAGGCGACUCUCUGGUCUGUAACUGACGCUGAGGAGCGAAAGCGUGGGGAGCGAACAGGAUUAGAUACCCUGGUAGUCCACGCCGUAAACGAUGAGUGCUAAGUGUUAGGGGGUUUCCGCCCCUUAGUGCUGCAGCUAACGCAUUAAGCACUCCGCCUGGGGAGUACGGUCGCAAGACUGAAACUCAAAGGAAUUGACGGA
This 477-nucleotide ribosomal RNA is filed under the name uncultured Bacillus sp. RNAcentral's name for it is "bacterial SSU rRNA". It matches the Rfam family "Bacterial small subunit ribosomal RNA", at positions 445 to 917 of the family's 1533-position model. The record is from RNAcentral. Lineage: Bacteria; Bacillati; Bacillota; Bacilli; Caryophanales; Bacillaceae.